Molecule: ribosomal RNA, 670 nt
Filed under: uncultured Alphaproteobacteria bacterium
Lineage: Bacteria; Pseudomonadati; Pseudomonadota; Alphaproteobacteria
Description: bacterial SSU rRNA
Rfam family: Bacterial small subunit ribosomal RNA
Source: RNAcentral
CGAACGAAGUAGCAAUACUUAGUGGCAGACGGGUGAGUAACAUGUGGGUAUCUGCCCUUUGGCCUGGAAUAACACGAGGAAACUUGUGCUAAUACCAGAUAAGUCUUUACGGAGAAAGCUUUAUGCACCAUUGGAUGAGCCCGCACUUGAUUAGUUUGUUGGUGGGGUAAUGGCCUACCAAGACUUUGAUCAAUAGCUGAUUUGAGAGGAUGAUCAGCCACAUUGGGACUGAGACACGGCCCAAACUCCUACGGGAGGCAGCAGUGGGGAAUCUUGCACAAUGGAGGAAACUCUGAUGCAGCGAUGCCGCGUGAGUGAAGAAGGCCCUUGGGUUGUAAAGCUCUUUCGUCGGGGAAGAAAAUGACUGUACCCGAAUAAGAAGGUCCGGCUAACUUCGUGCCAGCAGCCGCGGUAAUACGAAGGGACCUAGCGUAGUUCGGAAUUACUGGGCUUAAAGAGUUCGUAGGUGGUUGAAAAAGUUGGUGGUGAAAUCCCAGAGCUUAACUCUGGAACUACCAUCAAAACUUUUCAGCUAGAGUUUGAUAGAGGAAAGCAGAAUUUCUAGUGUAGAGGUGAAAUUCGUAGAUAUUAGAAAGAAUACCAAUUGCGAAGGCAGCUUUCUGGAUCAUUACUGACACUGAGGAACGAAAGCAUGGGUAGCGAAGAGGAU